UGAGUGUUGCUUGUUCCAUUAAAAAAAA
This 28-nucleotide non-coding RNA is filed under the name Rattus norvegicus (Norway rat). The record is from RNAcentral. Lineage: Eukaryota; Metazoa; Chordata; Mammalia; Rodentia; Muridae.